RNAcentral lists this ribosomal RNA (563 nucleotides) under uncultured bacterium. Its description in RNAcentral is "partial 16S ribosomal RNA". It matches the Rfam family "Bacterial small subunit ribosomal RNA", at positions 355 to 1375 of the family's 1533-position model. The record is from RNAcentral.
UGGGGAAUAUUGGACAAUGGGCGCAAGCCUGAUCCAGCCAUGCCGCGUGAGUGAUGAAGGCCUUAGGGUUGUAAAGCUCUUUCGCCGGUGAAGAUAAUGACGGUAACCGGAGAAGAAGCCCCGGCUAAACUUCGUGCCAGCAGCCGCGGUAAUACGAAGGGGGCUAGCGUUGCUCGGAAUCACUGGGCGUAAAGCGCACGUAGGCGGAUCGUUAAGUCAGGGGUGAAAUCUGGAGCUCAACUCCAGAACUGCCCUUGAUACUGGCGAUCUCGAGUUCGAGAGAGGUUGGUGGAAACUCCGGAGUGUAGAGGUGAAAUUCGUAGAUAUUCGGAAGAACACCAGUGGCGAAGGCGGCCAACUGGCUCGAUACUGACGCUGAGGUGCGAAAGCGUGGGGAGCAAAACAGGAUUAGAUACCCUGGUAGUCCACGCCGUAAACGAUGGAUGCUAGCCGUUGGGGGGUUUACCUCUCAGUGGCGCAGCUAACGCCUUAAGCAUCCCGCCUGGGGAGUACGGUCGCAAGAUUAAAACUCAAAGGAAUUGACGGGGUCAUAGCUGUUUCCU